Long non-coding RNA from Homo sapiens (human), 281 nucleotides. RefSeq annotates it as long independently transcribed non-coding RNA 1871. Lineage: Eukaryota; Metazoa; Chordata; Mammalia; Primates; Hominidae. The transcript has 2 exons. The record is from RefSeq and is marked validated.
AUUUCUGCUGAUGUGUGGUGCUUCAUAAGAUGGGGACGUUAAGCAUGCAGCAACUACAGUCAUUUGUUCUCAGAGGUCUGGACCAAAGAGAAACAAGAAAAGCUGGAGUCACACUACCAAAGGCCGAAGCUGAGCAACAGAGCUCUGGAGUCAGCUGCCUGGGUUCAGCAUGCAGCGCUGCCGUGGACGAUCUGUCUCUCUUGCAUAUAUGACUUACCAGUUUUACUUUCAGUCUCUCCAUUUCUAAUUAAAUGAGAUGCAGAAAUGCUGGUGCCUUGCUA